ACGUUAGCGGCGGACGGGUGAGUAACACGUGGGUAACCUACCUAUAAGACUGGGAUAACUCCGGGAAACCGGGGCUAAUACCGGAUAACACAUGAAACCGCAUGGUUUCAUGAUGAAAGACGGUUUUGCUGUCACUUAUAGAUGGACCCGCGGCGUAUUAGCUAGUUGGUAAGGUAACGGCUUACCAAGGCAACGAUACGUAGCCGACCUGAGAGGGUGAUCGGCCACACUGGAACUGAGACACGGUCCAGACUCCUACGGGAGGCAGCAGCG
This 273-nucleotide ribosomal RNA is filed under the name uncultured Staphylococcus sp. RNAcentral's name for it is "partial 16S ribosomal RNA". It matches the Rfam family "Bacterial small subunit ribosomal RNA", at positions 89 to 356 of the family's 1533-position model. The record is from RNAcentral. Lineage: Bacteria; Bacillati; Bacillota; Bacilli; Caryophanales; Staphylococcaceae.